GCAAAGCUGCCUUUCUUGUUGCUUUCCUUUUGUUCCCGGAUGCACUUUGCUUUGAUAAUGGCCGUGAGGAACCAACUUUGAACCAGCAUUUCCUCUAAUUUCCAACUUUGAAGUAGCCGUGAACCAGGAAACCAACUCGAGACUCGAGAGUAGUCAUUUGAAUCUUUGGAGUUGGAGAUUGAAAAGUGAUUGGAUGGAAUUGGAAAGUUG
Molecule: long non-coding RNA, 210 nt
Organism: Coffea arabica (coffee)
Lineage: Eukaryota; Viridiplantae; Streptophyta; Magnoliopsida; Gentianales; Rubiaceae
Source: RefSeq, a predicted model, not a curated record